GAUUUAUUUAAUACACAAGUUCCACAAUUUGAAUUACUGAAAUAAAUGAACUUUUCCAUUACAUUCUAAUUUAUUGAGAUGCACUUGUAUAUGAGAGGAUGAAAGAGGAGGAGUUUAACAUCUCAGAUGAUCUUGUUAGUUUUGCUAGACUGUCACAAAGCUCAGUCCUGCUGCAGUGAACACACACAUGUACAAUGAUACUUCAUUCAGUCAUUCUGAUCUCUGCCUUGGCAUGUGUGAGUUUUGGAGAUGAAAUCACACCAGACAGCACUGAAGAGUCUGCUGCAGAGGGUUCAACUCUUACAUUAUCCUGCAGUUAUUCAUCUGCAGAUUAUCUAUACUGGUACCGUCAGUAUCCCGGAUCAGCUCCUCAAUUCCUUGUGCUCAUCUCAGACAGUGCAAAAAACCCCGAAGAGUCUUAUGUAGAUUCCAGAUUCACUACUGAGAUCAGAAAAGAAAAAGAAAACCAUGUGGAUCUGAUCAUCUCCUCUGCUGCAGUAUCAGACUCUGCUCUGUAUUACUGUGCUCUGGAGCCCACAGUCACAGGAAACACAAGAUCACUGUACAAAAACCUGCUUCUGCUCAGAGUGAGAAAUCAAUGGUCUUCUACAGUUCAGGAGAAAUGGGGCCGUUAAUCUUGAAUUUUACCCAGAGUAUACCAAAUAGCAUCUCGCCCAUUCAAAGAAGCAUUUUGAGCAUUUUGAAAUGCAAAUGCAUUAUUAUUUAAAGUGAAAAAAAGUGUUUGUAUAAAUAAAAAAUAUUUGCAUGUACAAAAAGUGUCCAAUAUAGAAUCAAGUCACACCUUCAGAAAUAAUGACCCACCCUCAUGAAUCUUUUUGUUUUUAUGUGGAGUGAAACAUCAGUUACUGUAUUAUCACAAAUAGCUAUUAAAAUGAUUCAAAAUCUGCUAAAGGGGUAAAAAUGGAACAACAGCUUUAAAAAAAAUUGAUUUUUUAUUAUUAUUAUUUAAAACAGGAUCUGCAUUUUCAUAGGUUUAAAUAAAAUAUUUUUGAUAUAAGAGACAAUAAAAACAACUUUUUGCAUCAAAAUCACUCUGUUACUGGUUAAAAAAAGAACUUGCGUUUCAAAAGUCAAAUAGUUUGCGACAGCUGAAUGUAACAGUUUUGGCAAGCCAAACAGUCUCUGAGUAAAAUUAUUUAUUAUUCAUAUACAUUUAAGCCACAAAAUAACUUAAUUCUGUAAAAUAAUUACUGACUGUAAAGCAAGUGCAAAUUAUAGUGUAUAACUGAUAAUCAGUGUUGAUGGAGACCUGUGGCUUCACUGUAUUUCCUCAACUGAUUGCAAACAGCAUGAUUUCACAGUUAUGUUUUUUUCACCAGGUGUGUUCAACCUGAAGCAGCGCUGGACAGAACGAUCAGUGUAUGACACCAAAGUACAGAGAGAGCGAUUAGAGAGCAGACGGCUCAGUGAAUGCUUUUGAAUCGCUCUCCCUGUACUUUGGUGUCAUUUACCGAUCGGUCUGUCCAGCGCUGCUUCAAGUCGAACACACCUAUUGUCGUGUUUAGUUUCUAGUCUUAGUUUUUAUUGUCUGUAUUUGCUUGUGUUCGAGUCAUUCAUUAGUUGUCGUUUCUCAUUAGUUCUCACCUGUUCCCUGUUUUCUUUUGAUUGCCAUCCUCUUGUGUAUAUUAGCCCUCUGUGUCUUGAGUUCAUUGUCUUGUGUUAAAGUUAUGUGUAUUCUGUCGUUCUUUGUGUUUAUAUUAUUAUUGUUUAUCCUGCAUCACACAUCAUCCUUAGAUUUAACAACAUACAACCUGUGACACAUGACUUUUUUGAAAAGUUUCUGGAUAGUAAAGGCAAUUCUGAAAUAAACAGGGCAAAUGAGACCCCAAUCCCAUAAAAGUGCAGAUAGGAGUGGAAAUUUUGUGGGUGAUUUAUUGACAAUGCACAAAUUAAAGAACACAGACGCAGCCAAUUCAAGCACAAAAUGGGUUGAGAUAUGCUUUUUUCAGCAUUAAAUAUUAGUGCAAAUGCCAGUAUAUUGAUAAAUGCAAACCUUAGUAAAUCAUGUUGCAUGAUUUAUUUAAAUAUUCUCCC
Non-coding RNA from Megalobrama amblycephala (Wuchang bream), 2055 nucleotides. NCBI's taxonomy places the organism in Eukaryota, Metazoa, Chordata, Actinopteri, Cypriniformes, Xenocyprididae. The record is from the annotation of a RefSeq genome assembly.